AGGACGAACGCUGGCGGCGUGCUUAACACAUGCAAGUCGAGCGAGGCCCGUCCUUCGGGACGGUGCCCUAGCGGCGAACGGGUGAGUAACACGUGGGCAACCUGCCCCUAGCACUGGGAUAACUCCGGGAAACCCGGGGCUAAUACCGGAUAUGACCGUUGAGGGCAUCCUCGAAGGCGUAAAGGAUUCUGGCUAGGGAUGGGCCCGCGGCCUAUCAGCUUGUUGGUGGGGUAACGGCCUACCAAGGCGACGACGGGUA
Molecule: ribosomal RNA, 259 nt
Filed under: uncultured bacterium
Lineage: Bacteria
Description: partial small subunit ribosomal RNA
Rfam family: Bacterial small subunit ribosomal RNA
Source: RNAcentral